RNAcentral lists this ribosomal RNA (517 nucleotides) under uncultured bacterium. RNAcentral describes it as "partial 16S ribosomal RNA". It matches the Rfam family "Bacterial small subunit ribosomal RNA", at positions 28 to 523 of the family's 1533-position model. The record is from RNAcentral.
GACGAACGCUGGCGGCGUGCCUAAUACAUGCAAGUCGAGCGGACCGGAUUGGGGCUUGCCUUGAUUCGGUCAGCGGCGGACGGGUGAGUAACACGUGGGCAACCUGCCCGCAAGACCGGGAUAACUCCGGGAAACCGGAGCUAAUACCGGAUAACACCGAAGACCGCAUGGUCUUCGGUUGAAAGGCGGCCUUUGGGCUGUCACUUGCGGAUGGGCCCGCGGCGCAUUAGCUAGUUGGUGAGGUAACGGCUCACCAAGGCGACGAUGCGUAGCCGGCCUGGGGGGGUGACCGGCCAUACUGGGACUGAGACACGGCCCAGACUCCUACGGGAGGCAGCAGUAGGGAAUCUUCCGCAAUGGGCGAAAGCCUGACGGAGCGACGCCGCGUGAGCGAAGAAGGCCUUCGGGUCAUAAAGCUCUGUUGUGAGGGACGAAGGAGCGCCGUUCGAAGAGGGCGGCGCGGUGACAGUACCUCACGAGAAAGCCCCGGCUAACUACGUGCCAGCAGCCGCAGUAA